AUUGAACGCUGGCGGCAGGCCUAACACAUGCAAGUCGAGCGGAUGAAGGGAGCUUGCUCCUGGAUUCAGCGGCGGACGGGUGAGUAAUGCCUAGGAAUCUGCCUGGUAGUGGGGGAUAACGUCCGGAAACGGGCGCUAAUACCGCCUACGUCCUGAGGGAGCAAGUGGGGGAUCUUCGGACCUCACGCUAUCAGAUGAGCCUAGGUCGGAUUAGCUAGUUGGUGGGGUAAAGGCCUACCAAGGCGACGAUCCGUAACUGGUCUGAGAGGAUGAUCAGUCACACUGGAACUGGGACACGGUCCAGACGCCUACGGGAGGCAGCAGUGGGGAAUAUUGGACAAUGGGCGAAAGCCUGAUCCAGCCAUGCCGCGUGUGUGAAGAAGGUCUUCGGAUUGUAAAGCACUUUAAGUUGGGAGGAAGGGCAGUAAGUUAAUACCUUGCUGUUUUGACGUUACCAACAGAAUAAGCACCGGCUAACUUCGUG
Molecule: ribosomal RNA, 484 nt
Filed under: uncultured bacterium
Lineage: Bacteria
Description: partial 16S ribosomal RNA
Rfam family: Bacterial small subunit ribosomal RNA
Source: RNAcentral